This 21-nucleotide non-coding RNA is filed under the name Caenorhabditis elegans. The record is from RNAcentral. Lineage: Eukaryota; Metazoa; Nematoda; Chromadorea; Rhabditida; Rhabditidae.
UGCUGCUCGAUCUGCCUCAUG